UAUAAGAUAAGCUAAAUAAGCUAAUGGACUCAUAUUCCAUUGAUAGAGAAAUCUUCUUAU
Molecule: transfer RNA, 60 nt
Filed under: Riccardoella reaumuri
Lineage: Eukaryota; Metazoa; Arthropoda; Arachnida; Trombidiformes; Ereynetidae
Description: tRNA-Met
Source: RNAcentral